This 114-nucleotide non-coding RNA is filed under the name uncultured Vexilliferidae. Lineage: Eukaryota; Discosea; Flabellinia; Dactylopodida; Vexilliferidae. The record is from RNAcentral.
UUUUCUCAGUUUUUUUUUUUUUUUUUUUUUUUCCAAUUUUGAACACAAGUCACCAUCAAUGGGUGUACUCUCAUUUUGAAAUAAAGAAUGAAAGUGUUUUGAAAAAAAAAAAAA